AUUGAACGCUGGCGGCAGGCUUAACACAUGCAAGUCGAACGAUGAUUAUCUAGCUUGCUAGAUAUGAUUAGUGGCGGACGGGUGAGUAACAUUUAGGAAUCUGCCUAGUAGUGGGGGAUAGCUCGGGGAAACUCGAAUUAAUACCGCAUACGACCUACGGGUGAAAGGGGGCGCAAGCUCUUGCUAUUAGAUGAGCCUAAAUCAGAUUAGCUAGUUGGUGGGGUAAAGGCCCACCAAGGCGACGAUCUGUAACUGGUCUGAGAGGAUGAUCAGUCACACCGGAACUGAGACACGGUCCGGACUCCUACGGGAGGCAGCAGUGGGGAAUAUUGGACAAUGGGGGCAACCCUGAUCCAGCCAUGCCGCGUGUGUGAAGAAGGCCUUUUGGUUGUAAAGCACUUUAAGCAGGGAGGAGAGGCUAAUGGUUAAUACCCAUUAGAUUAGACGUUACCUGCAGAAUAAGCACCGGCUAACUCUGUGCCAGCAGCCGCGGUAAUACAGAGGGUGCGAGCGUUAAUCGGAAUUACUGGGCGUAAAGCGAGUGUAGGUGGCUCAUUAAGUCACAUGUGAAAUCCCCGGGCUUAACCUGGGAACUGCAUGUGAUACUGGUGGUGCUAGAAUAUGUGAGAGGGAAGUAGAAUUCCAGGUGUAGCGGUGAAAUGCGUAGAGAUCUGGAGGAAUACCGAUGGCGAAGGCAGCUUCCUGGCAUAAUAUUGACACUGAGAUUCGAAAGCGUGGGUAGCAAACAGGAUUAGAUACCCUGGUAGUCCACGCCGUAAACGAUGUCUACUAGCCGUUGGGGUCCUUGAGACUUUAGUGGCGCAGUUAACGCGAUAAGUAGGCCGCCUGGGGAGUACGGCCGCAAGGUUAAAACUCAAAUGAAUUGACGGGGGCCCGCACAAGCGGUGGAGCAUGUGGUUUAAUUCGAUGCAACGCGAAGAACCUUACCUGGUCUUGACAUAGUGAGAAUCCUGCAGAGAUGCGGGAGUGCCUUCGGGAAUUCACAUACAGGUGCUGCAUGGCUGUCGUCAGCUCGUGUCGUGAGAUGUUGGGUUAAGUCCCGCAACGAGCGCAACCCUUUUCCUUAUUUGCCAGCGGGUUAAGCCGGGAACUUUAAGGAUACUGCCAGUGACAAACUGGAGGAAGGCGGGGACGACGUCAAGUCAUCAUGGCCCUUACGACCAGGGCUACACACGUGCUACAAUGGUAGGUACAGAGGGUUGCUACACAGCGAUGUGAUGCUAAUCUCAAAAAGCCUAUCGUAGUCCGGAUUGGAGUCUGCAACUCGACUCCAUGAAGUCGGAAUCGCUAGUAAUCGCAGAUCAGAAUGCUGCGGUGAAUACGUUCCCGGGCCU
RNAcentral lists this ribosomal RNA (1355 nucleotides) under uncultured bacterium. RNAcentral's name for it is "bacterial SSU rRNA". It matches the Rfam family "Bacterial small subunit ribosomal RNA", at positions 28 to 1381 of the family's 1533-position model. The record is from RNAcentral.